Molecule: ribosomal RNA, 493 nt
Filed under: uncultured bacterium
Lineage: Bacteria
Description: partial 16S ribosomal RNA
Rfam family: Bacterial small subunit ribosomal RNA
Source: RNAcentral
GACGAACGCUGGCGGCGUGCCUAACACAUGCAAGUUGAGCGACGAACCAGGGCUUGCCCUGGGGCAAAGCAGCGAACGGGUGAGUAACACGUGGGUAACCUACCCCGAUAACCGGGACAACCCGAGGAAACUCGGGCUAAUACCGGAUGUGCUCACUGGACUUCGGUUCAGUGCGUAAAGGAAGCUUCGGCCUCCGUAUCGGGAGGGGCCCGCGGCCCAUUAGUUUGUUGGUGAGGUAACGGCUCACCAAGACCGCGAUGGGUAGCUGGUCUGAGAGGACGAUCGGCCACACUGGGACUGAGACACGGCCCAGACUCCUACGGGAGGCAGCAGUGGGGAAUCUUGCGCAAUGCGCGAAAGCGUGACGCAGCAACGCCGCGUGGGGGAAGAAGGCCUUCGGGUUGUAAACCCCUUUCAGGAGGGACGAAGGUUCGGCGGUGAAUAGCCGUCCGGACUGACGGUACCUCCACAAGAAGCCCCGGCUAACUACGUG